GUAGGGCGGGACACGUGGUAUCCUGUCUGAAUAUGGGGGGACCAUCCUCCAAGGCUAAAUACUCCUGACUGACCGAUAGUGAACCAGUACCGUGAGGGAAAGGCGAAAAGAACCCCGGCGAGGGGAGUGAAAAAGAACCUGAAACCGUGUACGUACAAGCAGUGGGAGCACAGGUUUACCUGUGUGACUGCGUACCUUUUGUAUAAUGGGUCAGCGACUUAUAUUCUGUAGCAAGGUUAACCGAAUAGGGGAGCCGGAGGGAAACCGAGUCUUAAUUGGGCGUUAAGUUGCAGGGUAUAGACCCGAAACCCGGUGAUCUAGCCAUGGGCAGGUUGAAGGUUGGGUAACACUAACUGGAGGACCGAACCGACUAAUGUUGAAAAAUUAGCGGAUGACCUGUGGCUGGGGGUGAAAGGCCAAUCAAACCGGGAGAUAGCUGGUUCUCCCCGAAAGCUAUUUAGGUAGCGCCUCGUGAAUUCAUCUCCGGGGGUAGAGCACUGUUUCGGCUAGGGGGCCAUCCCGGCUUACCAACCCGAUGCAAACUGCGAAUACCGGAGAAUGUUAUCACGGGAGACACACGGCGGGUGCUAACGUCCGUCGUGAAGAGGGAAACAACCCAGACCGCCAGCUAAGGUCCCAAAGUCAUGGUUAAGUGGGAAACGAUGUGGGAAGGCCCAGACAGCCAGGAUGUUGGCUUAGAAGCAGCCAUCAUUUAAAGAAAGCGUAAUAGCUCACUGGUCGAGUCGGCCUGCGCGGAAGAUGUAACGGGGCUAAACCAUG
Molecule: ribosomal RNA, 780 nt
Filed under: Salmonella enterica subsp. enterica serovar Enteritidis
Lineage: Bacteria; Pseudomonadati; Pseudomonadota; Gammaproteobacteria; Enterobacterales; Enterobacteriaceae
Description: partial 23S ribosomal RNA
Rfam family: Bacterial large subunit ribosomal RNA
Source: RNAcentral